Molecule: small nucleolar RNA, 107 nt
Organism: Hibiscus syriacus
Lineage: Eukaryota; Viridiplantae; Streptophyta; Magnoliopsida; Malvales; Malvaceae
Source: RefSeq, a predicted model, not a curated record
AAUCCAUGCAUAGGAUAAUUCCACAACAAUUCUUUAAAUUUUUCCCAUGCUUCAUACAAGCUUUCAUCUUCCGUAUGAUUGAACAAAGAUUAAUUGUUUUCAAGUUU